CCCAGACUCCUACGGGAGGCAGCAGUGGGGGAUAUUGCACAAUGGGGGCAACCCUGAUGCAGCGACGCCGCGUGAGCGAUGGAGUACUUCGGUAUGUAAAGCUCUGUCAGCAGGGAAGAGAAUGACGGUACCUGACCAAGAAGCCCCGGCUAAAUACGUGCCAGCAGCCGCGGUAAUACGUAUGGGGCAAGCGUUAUCCGGAUUUACUGGGUGUAAAGGGAGCGCAGGCGGCGCGGCAAGUCAGAUGUGAAAGCCCGGGGCUCAACCCCGGGACUGCAUUUGAAACUGCCGGGCUAGAGUAUCGGAGAGGCAAGUGGAAUUCCUAGUGUAGCGGUGAAAUGCGUAGAUAUUAGGAGGAACACCAGUGGCGAAGGCGGCUUGCUGGACGAUCACUGACGCUGAGGCUCGAAAGCGUGGGGAGCAAACAGGAUUAGAUACCCGCGUAACC
This 448-nucleotide ribosomal RNA is filed under the name uncultured bacterium. Its description in RNAcentral is "bacterial SSU rRNA". It matches the Rfam family "Bacterial small subunit ribosomal RNA", at positions 330 to 795 of the family's 1533-position model. The record is from RNAcentral.